AUUACGUAAACACACUUAGCAUGCAUUAAGAUGAUGAAUAAAUUCUUAUCUAGUGUCCUCGACUUCACAUGAACACGGGUAGAUUUAUUACGUGUCAAUACUCAUGAGAGAGAGGAGAAAAAUGCAGUAGUUCAAUCCAAUAUAAAGCUAUCAUGGGAUCCUUCUAAUUACUUAGGCGAGAUAUGAGAACAAGGAGAGAAACUUAUCAAAAUUUCAGAAAAUGAAGUAUUCAGGGGAUCUGUCACGACCCAAGCCUAGGGCCUAGACGUGACCGGCGAAUGGGGAACCCGAAGGAACCCCAAACAAGCCUCAUAGCGUAUUAUCACACAUCCUUGGUCGCUGAAGCAAUUAAAAUGACCAUAAGCGAUAAGCAUAAUCAAG
This 381-nucleotide long non-coding RNA is filed under the name Solanum tuberosum (potato). RNAcentral describes it as "long non-coding RNA (STUB_LNC007012)". The record is from RNAcentral. Lineage: Eukaryota; Viridiplantae; Streptophyta; Magnoliopsida; Solanales; Solanaceae.